This 213-nucleotide unclassified non-coding RNA is filed under the name Hevea brasiliensis (rubber tree). The record is from RNAcentral. Lineage: Eukaryota; Viridiplantae; Streptophyta; Magnoliopsida; Malpighiales; Euphorbiaceae.
GGAAGACUCUGACUAUGCGCUGGCACUAGCCCUGGGCAUGGAUUCUUCUUUGAUUGAAGGAACGGGACAGAAGAGAACCAGAACCAUAUCCUUCACACAAAAAGUCUGAUCUUAUCUGCGCUAUUGCCCGAUCAUAGCUGUACUGUAUGAGAUUAGUUCUCCCUCUCCCCUGCCCUGUUAGAACAGUCUGGUCUGAUCCUGUAAGCGAUAUAG